GAUGAACGCUGGCGGCGUGCCUAAUACAUGCAAGUCGAGCGAACGGACGAGAAGCUUGCUCCUCUGAUGUUAGCGGCGGACGGGUGAGUAACACGUGGAUAACCUACCUAUAAGACUGGGAUAACUUCGGGAAACCGGAGCUAAUACCGGAUAAUAUUUUGAACCGCAUGGUUCAAAAGUGAAAGACGGUCUUGCUGUCACUUAUAGAUGGAUCCGCGCCGCAUUAGCUAGUUGGUAAGGUAACGGCUUACCAAGGCAACGAUGCAUAGCCGACCUGAGAGGGUGAUCGGCCAGACUGGAACUGAGACACGGUCCAGACUCCUACGGGAGGCAGCAGUAGGGAAUCUUCCGCAAUGGGCGAAAGCCUGACGGAGCAACGCCGCGUGAGUGAUGAAGGUGUUCGGAUCGUAAAACUCUGUUAUUAGGGAAGAACAAAUGUGUAAGUAACUGUGCACAUCUUGACGGUACCUAAACAGAAAGCCACGGCUAACUACGUG
RNAcentral lists this ribosomal RNA (497 nucleotides) under uncultured bacterium. Its description in RNAcentral is "partial 16S ribosomal RNA". It matches the Rfam family "Bacterial small subunit ribosomal RNA", at positions 28 to 507 of the family's 1533-position model. The record is from RNAcentral.